UACCAGAUUUCAAUGAUUUUAGAAAAUUGUAAAUGGGUCCUACAUUACAUUACAUGUCAUUCAGCUGAUUCUUUUAUCCAAAGUGACUGAAUAAGUGCUAGUCUUGCGACCACUCAAAGCGCUUUAACACUUCAUGUCAUCAUUCACCCAUUCACGCCCCCUGAUGACAGGAGCUACCUUACACAGUGCCACCUGCCCAUCAGUAACUAACAUUCACAUAGUAGCAAUGUUUGGGUUAAGUGUCUUGCUGUAGGACACAUCGAAAUGCGGGUCAGCAGGACCUGCGAUCAACUCGCCAAUCAUCUGUUUGGAGGACAACUGUGCUCGACACUCGCCAACUGUCGCUCAACUAAAAAGAAAAAGAAAAACAAGUGCCUUGUGAUGAAUUGCCGGUAGGCAAAUAUUAAAUGCAGGAGUGUUAUUGAUAUGAAUGUUCCAGUUAACUGUUUAGCCUGUACAUGUACAUAUCAGCAACAAGCAGAUGUCUCACACAUUCAUAUGGAGGAACCAUAAUUUACCAAUUGGUUUCCAGACUGAGUGUUCUAAGCAGGCACCGUUGCCUUUGCCGUGGCCUUUACCAUCUUGUAUUUUUGCAACAAGAAAUAAUUUGAGAUGGUCUAAACAAAAGCUGAAUAAGCAAUUUUAUAGCCCCUCAAAAUGUUAUAAUCGACUUUCAUUAAUCAAAAACACACUGUAGAGGGGCUAAAGUUGUAAGACAAAAACUCUGAAAAACCGCAGACCAUACAAUGCUGUAGUAGUAACCUGUCAAUCACACGCUAGCAUACCCUGAUUUAUGGUGUAAAUAUACCAUCAUUUACUAAAUUAACAUCUAACAGAUCAGUUUAAGAUCACAAACUCAGGUAAACAAUUUGGUGAGAAGGUCUUUCUACAUGUGUAGAAUACAUUCUUAACACAUUGCUUAGGUUUCACUUUUCAGACAAUAAGGUUGCUUCCUAAGAUCCAUAAUAAUCAUUUUGAGUUGUGUUUUUGGCUACCUGAUGAAUAUAAAUGCAAUAUUCACUCCCUAUUAUGCUCAGCUUUAUUCUCCACCUAACCCCCAAAGGAAAUUAUUUUUUAGCUGCAACAUAUCCACUUUGUUUAGCAGAACAAUACUUAGAAUUUCCUUAACAGCACUGGUGCAACUAAGGCAACAGUUUAAAUUGUAAUUGUUAUUCUUUUAAAUAUUGCAGAUUGCGCAUUAGCCCAUCAUUAACAAAAAUGUUUCUGCAAUUUAGCAAAUGAGCCGAACAGGAGAAUAUUACCCUGCAUGUCCCUGUUGGUGGUUUAAUUAUUGAUUUAAUCUCUAAUUACACAAUUAACAGGCAAAUGGAGCUGGGUAUUUCAGCCGCACAGGGAGGAGUGCUCUGAAAUCCAUAAUUGAGAUCUGUUGGUCAGGGGCCGCUCAUUAAUUUACCCCUGCUGAUCAGCGCUGAACAUUCAAUAAAGGGCUAUAACAUUGACAUGCGCAAAAGCAAAGUGUAAAUAAUGGCGCCAACAGCCUCUCUGGAGGAGCUGUUUUCAGCUGCAACCACGGAGUGAUGUGUACAAACACACUUCUACAAACCUCCCGUCCCUCCGCAAAAACGGCAAACAAUUAGAGGAGACGGCUUGCGCCCAACAAAGCUUUUAAAUACUGAGGAAUUAAGCGGGGAAUGAUGCGUCUGUGCCAGCAGUGAGACGCAGUAACCACUGAGCCUGGGGGCUUUGGCUGGAUAAACAGCGUCCAUCUUUACCAAAGGACGUUGUGGCAUCUACUAGGACAAUAGUGGUGAGGGAGACAAAUAAACUCAAUAUACUGGACGCUUGUGACUUCCAAUUUUUUGACUUGUCACAUUACAUGAGGGAAUAGUGGGACAGAAUAACUAGACGGGUGUAUUUUAAGUUAGUUUAAUGUUUCUCUCAGGAGCUGGCCCAAUAACACGGCAGCAAUCCAGUAAACUGCCAUCCAAUCAACCAGAAGAGUAAACACAGUGAUUAUGAAAAGACAUCAGCAGGGAGACAUCCUGCACCUUGGUCUGAGUAAACUUUUCUACUUUUCAACCACUUGCCCUCUUUCUUUGUGGUCCUCUUUUUAUAUCACCGGGGGGUUUAACACAAUUUGAAAAAGAAAACAUUUCCUGCCAGCGAUCUUGAAGACAAGCCACCUCGUGUUUGAAUACUGUUUAAUAGUCUGCUGAUAAUGUUUCUGUUCCGUUGCUAGGUCAACAGCAAUUGCUGCAAGGGGCUUAAAAACAAAGACGUUAGGAAACAUAAAUCACAAAUAAGAUACUUGAGUUUCCAGAUGUUUUCCAUAAUGGAGGCUGUAAUUUAUAUUCAGACAUUCUGUGAUUAACCGGCUGACAUGGGAGGGCAGAGGUCAGACUGUUUAGUUCCCUCAUCAUUAUUAGUUAUUGCAGUUCAAGACAGUUUAAAACAUUUAAAUUAUGUAAAGGGGUGCGGCUACACCCUGUAACAACACUGAGCCUGUAGGGAUUUGUGGAUUCACUGUUCGACCCCCUCAUCCUUACUGACUGAACACACUAGAAGCUUUCCUAAGAGGCAGUACCAAGGGUGUAACCAUGUUUUAGACAUUGGGGGGACGUCAUAGAGGCUUUUCGUGUGGCUUUGCUUCGUCAGCCGCUAGUCAGCCUGGUGCCCACCAUGCUGCCCCGCUGAGCGGAGCAAGCGGACACUCAAAGUCCCGCUGCCGGAAUGAAACAUAUUUUACAUAUUUUUUGCUGUAUAUUGGGGGUGGGGGGGCAGAUUGGUAUUUUCUCAAUAUUGAGGGGGACACAAGCCCCCCCAAAGAAUGCGUGGUUACGCCGUUGGGCAGUACUAUAUUUCUUUUGCGUCAUACCUACAGUAUCAUUCACGCAGUUUUUCACACCUCCAGUCACCUUUAAGGGCCCCAAAAGGCACUUUAAAUCGGAAGAUAUAUUUAAAUUGGUUGAAAAAAUGUUGAUUUUCUUUCUCUGAACGUUCCUGCUUAAGAAUGUCCUAAGUAAUCCUGCAAAACCAGAGCAUGCUCUACAUUUCUAGGCAGUCAAUUUCGUGCUAAGCUUUAGAGCCCAUUUGAGUUGAAAAGACACACAUACAGCCAGCAGCUAGUUAGGUUAGCGCAGCUGAGAAGAUGGAAAAGAAAACCUGCUUGUGUGUAGCGACUCAAAAAGUAGAUUUGAAAAUACUUUAGUUUGACUUUCACCAUAGACACGGCCUAAUUGCGGUAGUCAAACCCCAAACUGACUACUGACAGCUGGGAAGCUAACUAUCAACUUGCUAGCCAGCGCAACACUGCUUGUCAAUCAUAAUAGGUUUCCCUUUCCAUUUCUUCUGAACCAACAUUUUGUUCAGCAUUGGGCACAAUUACAUUAAAUAAGACAAUAUUGAUGUUGGAAAAUAAAGCUCUUUGAGCUGAUAAGCCAAUGGACAUUUAGCAAACUUGCUAUGUUUGCUUGGUCGCUAAUUAGAAAACGCAUUGAGCGUGACAGUCACUGAUUUUGGUCUCUAGUAACGCAUUACAGUGGACUAAUUUUCUGUUGACAUGAACCAGCCAGUGUGAAUUUGGUGAAUGAAUGUGCUUUGAGAGCUUGGGUGUGAACCUUGUGAAACACCUUCCUGCAACCAGAGACCAGGUUCUUUAAAUAUGUAGGCCUAUGCUAAUUCUAGGUUCUUUUUCUGGGGUCAGUGUAGGGAUCCUUUUCACAGUCGUUAACUGAGGUGUAACUGGAAUCAAGUGUGUGACGAUCUGGUUACCCUGACAUUUCUAGAGAGUGCAGCAGGCCUUGUGGAGGGUUGACACUGGAACGUUGGCCUAGAAUUCAAAUAUAGAUCUCAAGCUCUCUGCAGCAGCUUGUCUUUUACAGAAGCAAGCUAACAAUAAUUCAUACUUGGAGUAAAAGAUUUGCCAAAUUCUCAUUUUUCCCAUACAUUGCUGUAUUCCCAUGAAUAAGUUAACAACCUUUCCUAGUCAGAAUUCGGCCGCUGUCAUCACAGUAGAAGUGUGAAUAAGAGAGUCAUUCUUCAUUGCGCCAGACACAUCUUAGUGGGAGUUCACACUCCGUGUCUGGGGUCUGGAAAAUUGCACUGCAAAACAGCUCUCCAGACAAGGGAAUACCUGUCAACUCCUGGAAUGUUUCUGUGAAAAUAAACAAUGCUCAGCCUGCUCACUGUGUAUCCCCAUCAUUCCCCUCAUAACGCUCCGCUGUAACCUUACGACCUUGAUGAAACAGUCGUGAAUUGAGAAAGGAAGUAAACCACAGUAAUGUGUCCUAAAGGUUAGAGGCAUGCCCAUCAUUUGUUUGUCAACUCAUUUCUGUGUGCACAUUAAGACCAGUAAAGACAGAAGUCACAAAUAUUUGUGUGUUCCUCUUGCCAAAGUUGUCGUUUGAUUUGAUUGGUAAGUCCAAUUCAAUUAAAACUAAGCACAUGAUGAUGUUAUACAAGAAGUCCAAUUAAUUAGAUGAAAAAAGGAAAAUUUAAGGUCAAGAAUUUGUCUUGUUUGAAAAAAGUACCUUUAAUAGUUUUUAGGCACAACAACAUUGUGUAAUGUAUGUUUAGUAAAUUAAUACGUUUAAUUAUCAGCCUUAAUAUUAUAGUGAAAAAAACUUUUUUUUAAUCAGAAUACCACACAAGGGCUAAAGCAUCCACGAGUCAAAUCAAUCCUCUACAUUGCUCUGCUUUAAACAGCCAACUGCGCUUUAACUGAUUCUAGUGUCAUGGGUCGUAUGCGUAACACGGGACGCUAGCAGGGAAUAGUGUGUCCUUUAAAGGGUAGAAUUACUUAUAAUAUUGUGUAUUGUACCUUGCAAUUGAUACAUAUCAUUUUCUAAUGGCUAACUGAUGUAUUGUCACCUGACGAAGCCACCACAUUUGACUCAUCCUUUACUCCAUGGCAACACAACAGUCUCUGGAGGAGUUUGAAAAGAUUCUGCAUCAUGCCAAAUCCGGAUAACUUUUCGAGUAUGCUGGAUCCAAUAAGAUGGUAAGAGGGCAGUGGUCUGAGUUGGCAAUGGCGUUCUCUGGUUUCGUUGCCUUGGACGAGAUACAGAAGCACUGCGACCAUCAACUUAUUAGGAGCCGGCUGUCAUCGGGGGAAUUUGCAGAGUGAGUUUGUUUUUGGAUCCUGGGUGUGGGACGACAAGCAGCCAGGUUGUCUUUCUGGACUUACUGAUUCAACUGCCUAACAAGACCGGGGGAAUUACAUCUUGGCUACCUGGCACUAACUGCUAAAGACACACGAUCAGUCAGGGACCCCAGUAGUUCUGUAAUGAGACAACCAGCCAAGAAGUUCUUAAUAAACCACAGGUCAAUAUCUUGCUCCAACUAAAACUUCUCUCACUGGAUGCUGUCAUACAACUUGUGAAUUUAGAAUAGAACGCUUCUGAAACAUAGACAGAUUGAGACAGUAUGUGAGCAGCGCAGUACUGUACAGUACAGUAUUUUACAGAUCAGAAAUCUCCAUAUCCUCAUAGUAUUUAGCUACAAAUGGUAACAAUGGUAAGCAAAACAUUAACCUCUCACAGCCGCCUAACCCCCUGUACCUAUAGUUUGUAUAAAUGUUGAAAAAUUGAUAAAUGUAUCAGGUCAUAAAACUGUUAAUACUAUUCCAUGUAUUCUGGUCAGGUCAUGCUUAAUGUUAUAUUUAAGUUAGGCUUUUUACAAAGAAGACAUCUUGAAAUGUUGCUGUAGCAGCAACAUAGUCAAAUAGACGAAAACAAGAACGGUGGCAGAAUUCCAUUUAACUACUUCAACUUACACAGUCCUGGCACUGUACAUGCUGGUUCACAUUCAUGACUUACUGGGACCAUCUAAUGUUAGUAGUAUUAGUUCUAUACGAACUCAUUUGCACCAAUGAUGGAUAAAAAGCCUAGGAGUUUGCAGCCACAGUAGCAACCCUAACACGUCCCAUUGCGCAUAAUAAGUAUGCAAUGAAAUGCUUGUAGGGGAAAUGUUGACCUUGUUGGCCAUCUUUGUUCAGCGUGUUUGCAUGCUAAUAAUGGCUUAUUUGCGCUAACCACAAAAUACAUCUGUGACUGACAGUGGAGUGUCAGUUUUGCGUGAUUUGUGUUUAGACGUUUCUACCAUUCAUCCUCAAAUUUUAUGGAUAUCCAGCCAAAUAGUUACGUUUCACUCAAAACCUAAACUGCCAACCUCAUUCCAUUAUUAUAUAUAGAUAUAUAUAAUUUAUUAAAUCAACUAAAAUGAUGGCAUUUCAGGAAAAGUGUUUGAAGUUUGAAGUUAUUAAAGAUACUCACUACUGCCUACAGUAAAUGGGAUGUGGUAAUGUUCAAUUUUAAAGUGAUAAGCUAACUCAGAUGAAAUGACAACACAUAUUUUGCCUUUGUAUGCCUAAUAUGCUUACGUGAAUGUGCUGAUAUUUGUUUUGUAUUCCAAUGCAUCGUGCAAAAUUCAUUCUUUUGACUCAACGCUAGUAUGAGAUGUUGUUUAUUUGGGUAGUAAAAGGGCAGUGAGAGCUGGAUCUGCAGCACGUAUGCUGUUCUGCAGCUGAUCCUCAGCUUUGCAGUUCAAAUACACAAAGCCAAAACCAAAUAUUGCUCUUUGAGAUACACCAGGCACUUGAUUAUUUUCCUUUCAAAAAAAGUUUUGUUAUUUUCAUGGCGUCCGCCCACUUGGUCCCACAUAAUUGUUUCCCCUUAUAGUAUGUGAAUACCAGACUUCACAUAGAAGCCUAACAGUGAAGCCAGUAAACGUCACAAAAGGUUUUUAAAUUGAUGUUUUUUGGAUAAUGUGAACCUACAAUGAAGGGUUGCCUUACACCCCCAAACUGUUACAUUAUUGGACGACAGCUUCCCGUACCUUAUUGCUUAAUUAAUCAUUUUUUUCUGCCAAAAAGUCUACUUUUAUGAAAGCUAGGACAUUGUUACUGUCAAGUGUUCAAGUAAAUGGUAAAUGGCCUGUACUUGUAUAGCGCUUUUCUAGUCUUCUGACCACUGAAAGCGCUCUAACACUACAUGACAUCAUUCACCCAUUCACACCCAUUCAUACACUGAUGACUGGAGAACCAUACACAGUGACACCUGCCCAUCAGUAACUAACAUCCACACACUGUAGUCGCAGCUACAGGAGCAAUGUUGGGUUAAGUGUCUUGCCCAAGGACACAACGACAUGCAGGUUAGCCGGGCCUGGGAUCGAACCGACAGUACAUUUUGAUAUUGAAGAUAUUCUAUAUUCUGAGGUGUUUCUAAUAUUCUGACUACCACAGGUAUGUGUCACGGUGUGGGUUUAUUUCCUAUCUUAUUUUGUAGUUUUCUGCUUCUUGUCUCCCUGGGUAACUUUACUUCCUGCCUUUUCCUGUCAUUGUCUGUGAUUGUCGGAUUUUUUCCACCUGUGUCCAAUCAACUGCACCUCCCUAGUGUAUUUAAGCAGUGUGUCAGUGUGUAUUCGCCACAGUGAUCUCCCGUUCCCGCUGGGCCGCUGCAGCGCUUUCCCGCUGGGCCGCCCCAGCAAUUUCCCGCUCGGCCGCCGCAGCAAUCUCCCGUUCCCGUUGGGCCGCAGCAGUGAUCUCCCGCUCCCCGACUAGCUCCUCCGACCCCGGUACCGGCCCCGAGACUUUCAGCCCCGACCCCGCCAGUACCGGCCCCUAGACUCGCAGCCCCGCCCCCGCCAGUACCGGCCCCGAGACUCCUGACUCCGACGCCUCCAGUCCCCACUCCCCGACUCAGGUUCCCUCCCAUCCCGCCGACUGCGGAGGUGUUCCGUGUCCCUGAGCCGCCGCCGACUGCGGAGGUGUUCCGUGUCCCUGAGCCGCCGCCGACUGCGGAGGUGUUCCGUGUCCCCGAGCUGCCGCCGACUGCUGCGGAGGUGUUCCGUGUUCCCGAGCCGCCGCCGACUACUGCCGAGGUUUCCCAUGUCCCCGAGCCGCCGCCGACUACUGCCGAGGUUUCCCGUGUCCCCGAGCUGCCGCCGACUACUGCCGAGGUUUCCCGUGUCCCCGAGCUGCCGCCGACUACUGCGGAGGUUUCCCGUGUCCCCGAGCUGCCGCCGACUACUGCGGAGGUGUUCCGUGUUCCCGAGCCGCCGCCGACUAUUGCCGAGGUGUUCUGUGUCCCCGAGCCGACAACUUCCCCGGAGGUGUUCCGUGUCCUCGAGCCGCCGACGGCCCCGGAGGUUUCCCGUGUCCCCGAACCAGCCAUUCCAGAGACGUUCCGUGCCCUGCAGUCGCCGCUCCGGAGCCCGCCAGCUUACCGUCCUUCGGGCCGACCCCCGUAGGCUCCCCGGUCGUCUGGCCGCCCGGGGCGGUCCGACCAACGUCUCUGGUUUCCCUCCCUCCGGCCCAUUGUCUGCUCUCUGCCAGUUUAGAGCCGUCUGGAAUUCUGUCACGGUGUGGAUUUAUUUCCUUUCUUAUUUUGUAGUUUUCCGCUUCUUGUCUCCCUGGCUAACUUCACUUCCUGCCUUUGCCUGUGAUUGUCUGAUUGUUUCCACCUGUGUCCAAUCACCUGCACCUCCCUAGUGUAUUUAAGCAGUGUGUCUCUUGUGUCACUUGUCGCGUCAUUGUCAAUCGUCCUGGAUGGCUCUCGUUCCUGCCUGCCUUUUUUUCCCCCUGGUACCUGUAUGUGUUUUUGCUCCAUGGCCUUUUGUUUGUUGGAGUUUAUGACUAUUGUCUUUUGUGUGCGAACUCUGCAUUUGAGUCCUGCCUUCCACCCACCCUGACAGUAUGCACAUAUGGACUAAAGAAUCUUUCAGUACAAUACAGAACCCUUUUUAACUGUGACCUCAAUAAAAUACAAACAUGAUUCUACAUAUUUCCUACAAAACAAUGUACCUAAUAAAUCGAAAAUUAAGUGUACACAAAAUGGAUCAUUUAGUAAUGACUACAUAAUUACUACUGCUGUAGUUUAACAAACCAAAACAUUACAUAGUUUAAAGUGUAUAUUUCAAAUGUAAUCUAUUACACACACAAAAAUAAAGUUUAACACCGGAUGAAUGUCUUUUAUCAGAAUCUUUUACUGUAUUUUAACUGCUGUUAAAAGGGGAAUAUUGCCGUUAAAAAGCACCUUAUUUGUUUAAGAUGUUUGCAAACUAAACGUAAUUUCACUUUUUUUAUAUAGCAGUACUUUUAAAAUAAAAGUGCGCAAUACACUUACGCAUUACAAUGUGAUGAAUCCCAAUUAAAUGUUAUUGUUGCCCAGCACUUUCACCUGAUUAUCAGACUGAAGAUUAUAAUUCUAUUCUACAGGAACACCUGGGUGUUCCUGUAGAAUAGAAUUUGCCGUUGGCAGAUUGGCCUCUAGAUACAAUUGUAAUUGGCAGUAAAAUGUUCCUCCUGAGCUACCGUAGGGCUGGGUAGACCCACCCUUCUUACUUCCUGGUAUUCCAUUAGUCUCAACCAUAAAAGCCACAGUAGGCUGCAGUAGGUCUGAACUGUAGCUUGCAAGGCGAGUCAUAGUUUGUGUUUCAUUUCAUUUGCUUGAGGUACAGCCCAGAGUUUUCCACUCCCCCAUUGAGCUGUCUGGAGGGUUCAGCAGUGAGCAGCCCAGAGAGGAGUUGCGUGCAACUGCUGUUUUGUUUACAUUACUCAGUUAAUUGUAUCCACUGAGAGAUGUCAUUCAGACAGAGAUCCGUGCCGCCGCCUGAGUGAGGUAGGGAGAGAAGUAGUUGGGUGUCAUCGGCAUAGCUGUGGUAGGAGAAGCCAUGCGAGCAUAUGACAGAGCCGAGAGAGUUGGUGUAGAGAGAGAAGAGGAGGAGGCCCAGGACGGAACCCUGAGGAGCUCCAGUAGUAACAGGACAAGGUUCCGAAAGAGAUCCUCUCCAGGUUACCCGGUGCGGUGCGGCCGUCAAGUUAGGAGAGGGGAAAGAGCGGAGCCUUAGAGACUAAGUUCCUGAAGGAAGGAGAUAAGGAUCCGGUGGUUUUAUCACGACAGCCACACACACCGACCUUCAGACAUUCACAAGUACAAACGACACUCAAUGAUGCGACCAGGGACAAGAGACACACAUGGCUUAAAUACACUGGGAAGGUGCAGGUGAUUGGACACUGGUGGAAACAAUCUGGGGCACGGCAGACAAUCACAGGGAAUGACAGGACAAGGCAGGAAGGGAAGUAACCCAGGGACACAAGAGGCAGAAAACUACAAAAUAAAGCAGGAAACAAACCCAAACCGUGACAGGUUUACUGUGUCAAAUGCAGCAGAAAGGUCAAGAAGGAUGAGGACAGAGGAGAGAGAGGCGGCAACAGCAGUGUGGAGUCUUACACUGAUGACGGAAGGUACCAUACACAGGCCCACCUGCCUGUCAGUAACUAACAUUCACACACUGUAGUUACAUCUACAGGAAUAAUGUUGGGGUUAAGUCUCUUAGCGAAGGACGACCGUGCUCCCCACUCACAGUUGCGACAACUUCCCCGGAGGUGUUCCGUGUCCUCGAGCCGCCGACGGCCCCGGAGGUUUCCCGUGUCCCCGAACCAGCCAUUCCAGAGACGUUCCGUGCCCUGCAGUCGCCGCUCCGGAGCCCGCCAGCUUACCGUCCUUCGGGCCGACCCCCGUAGGCUCCCCGGUCGUCUGGCAGUAACUAACAUUCACACACUGUAGUUACAUCUACAGGAAUAAUGUUGGGGUUAAGUCUCUUAGCGAAGGACGACCGUGCUCCCCACUCACAGCCCAGUCGUUACUGUUCUUUAUUCAACAGAGCAUAUGGGAAAGUUUUCUUGGACACAGCAGGUAGACACAGAUCUGAUGUAACGUUGCAUACUUCACAACCAAAUCAUAAUGACUGUUAUGGUUCUCUGAUAUACAUUGUGGUAUAAUUUUCAGUUGGAAACCAAAAACAUUAUCUACACAUGUUCUGUCCCUCUUUAAAAGUUUGUGUCUAUUUACUGCUGACAUCUGAUAAGUUUUUUGAUUCACAUAUCUGAGAAAGAAUUGCAGCCUCUAGAUCAUUCAAGGUCAAGAUGACUUUUCCUGUCACCUCCUUAACGUGGCGUGAAACCAGUAAUGCAUUCGGUUUAAUGGAGUGACACAAGGUAUCGCUGUGGUCUUGGCCAGACGCGUUUGAUCGUGACUAUUGAGCCAGAAAGUUGGUGCUCAGCGGCAUAAGGCCCAUCAGGAGCCCUGCUCCAUUCCAAUGUGGAGCCUGACAGCCAGCAUUUCAAUGAUGAGGACCUAAUGAGGCCUGGCGUGGAGUGACCCCGGUCCAGACCUGCUGACAGCUUCCAACAACCCCCCCCACACUGGCCCCCACUAUCCCGUUUGAGCCAUCAGGCGGCUCCUUCAUCAAGGAGGCCCAUGCAUCCCUCCACAUUUGGCCAAAGUUUGACUAUUAUGAUGGAAGGCCAUUGCUUGUGUCAGAUGGGCUUAAUGACUCAACCCAUCUGAUCAAAUACAGGAGGCGCUGGUAUGCUAGGAAUGGGACUGUGUGUGUGUGUGUGUGUGUGUGUGUCGGGGGGAUUGGUAUUCUCUUUUUAUUUGAACUACCCCAAAAAAACAAUUUAAUUGUGUCCCCCCAAUUUGGAAUACAAAUCACCCAAACCCAACUUAAAUCCACAAAAUACAGGAAAGCGAGAGUUGGCAACAGGCAAUGGGGCGUAUGAGUCAGUGCUGGAACCUGGGCUUUGCUAAAGGAAGGAAGACGAAUCUUUUUCUGUGCUCCAUAACAUCUGUUGAUAUGUACAAAGUCGGCGGAUAUCAAGCGCAGUCAGCCCGUGAGAGCAAGGAUGGGUGGGGGGGAUUGUGACAUGUUUCAGGCAAGUGAUAAUGAAUGUAAGCACGGCUGCGAUGAAGACGGCACAGCAUGUGAAAACCUCUGCAGAGAGAGGGUAAUUUAAUCCAUUUGGGGGCGGGGGGCUUCAAACGCCUCUCACCCCGCCACUUAUCGGCCUCAUCACGAGAGACGUAGAAAACAAACACAGGAUGAGUUGUGUCAAAGAGACGGCAACAGAGAGGGGAGGGGGCGGGGGGACCUCCUGUUGAGAACAUGAAGGAGGACAUUUUUGCUCCAAGGAAGGUGAAGGACACCUUGGGGUGCUUUCCACUUAAUGAAACAAGUGAGGAAACUUUUUUUUUCACUUUCCUGAUUAGGAAGGAGUGUUUUUGGGCUGCGUGAGCCAGCUGGGAGCUGAUUGAAUUUGUCUUGGUUCAAAAACACAAUUACUUGAGGGAGAAAGAUAAAGAUACCUUCAAUUAGCUCUCAGCUUCUCGCCGAUAAAUAUCACAUGGUGAAUUUUGUUUCUCAUUAAUAAAUUAAUUUUCUGAUAUAUUUGUUUAUUUCCUGUCUACUCUGUGUAUUAAGUGCCAGAGGGCUUUGCACCCUCUCUUUGUUGUGGUUAUUAUAUAGAUAACUAGUGUGACAUCAGUCAGUAUAGAAGUUAGACAGAAAGAGUCCCCUCACUGACCUGAGGCCUUUGUUGGCCCUCAUUAGUCAGAACCACACAUGACAUUUGUGCACGAGGGAGUCUGUUAACUUUGAUGGAACUUCAGCCCCGUCCAUCUCUCACAGCAGCUCAUCUUGAAAUACGACACAUCACGUCACUAAACGUCGUUGAAAGAUGUUGGAAUUUGUACUCAGUAGUGCCCUCCCAGAUUUUAAGGUCAUGAGGUGAGCCUGGGAAACAAGCUGAACGCUUUGCAUUUGAUUAAAUAUUCACUCUAUUUCAGGUCUAAGUUUAUUAAGAACUGUAAUUGAAUACGGCUGAUACUUCAAUUAUGUUUCCUCUGGAGUGCUUAAUUUGUCAGUCAAUCCAAUUUAGAAAAUAUCAAAAGCUGAAUUGUCCUAUUUAGAUUGUAAAUUAAUUAAUCGCAUCAUGACGAGUUGAUAACCACUGAUACAAAUAUGUGCGAUGCAUCAAUGGGACAAAAGUGAAUAGAAAGAAUGCAACACUAAGAAUUGGACAAUAUGUGUUUUUCUUCUUAGCUCUCCACGCCAUGUGUUAACAGAGUCAGUCAUCACAGGCCAGACAUGUGCUCUCUGAGGGGCACCGCUGGGAUGUCAUUUCUCAUGGCCCCUUGGAAAGCACAAUAUACAAACUCUGUUGUAAGGCUGGACCACCUAGAGGGAGAUAGAGACGGCAGUCAAGGCUCACAAAGUGCUCCAUUCAGAGAAAAAGCUUAUGCAAAAUAAACACCUACAACCUGAUAAGGGACGUCAUAUCGGCAGCAGACAACAGGAGCUGUGUUUGCUCAGGAUAUGAAAGAGACAUGCGUGAACAUGAAUGUUUGUUUUGGUCUUCACAAUGUGCUCUUAUCUCGUGUAACAUUAGAUUAACAAAAACAACUUUUAUCCAGUUUAAGUUAAUUUAUGUAUUUAUGAAUUUUUUUUUCUAACACUCUCGUAUUCUAUCUCACCUGCAGGCUAUGACAGGAGAGCAAUGUUUAGACUGUGGUGCUGAGAUGCAUAGCAACAACCUUUGCUAGCUCAACUUGAUCUGUGGGAUUACGGAUCCUGACAGAAGUUGCAGACUGCAGCAGGUAGGACGGAUAAAAGGAACUAGAGCUGUUGCAUGCUUUAUCUUAGACGUACGUCUCCUUUUGACAUCUGGCCUCUGAUUUUGAUUCCCGCCUGCACAGAAGAAGUAUGAGUGGAGGGAUAGCCUGGGCUGAUCUGGAUGUGAUUACAAAACAGCACCAACGCCAUCCACAAGACGCAAUAAAUAAAGAUCAUUUUUCUCUCAGAAAUGACAUGCAAAUCUUAAUGGAUUGCUGCUAUCUCCUCCCCCUUGAGUUGUGUGCCACAGCUUGUGUGUUUUCGACGAGGCCAAUUAUAUUCACAACCGCACAGCAACACCAAAUGUGCGCGUGACAUUGCCAAACACAAGAAAAUAAUCAUAACUGCUAGUGUUAAUACUUGCUCAGAGGGGCAUGUUUUAUUCAUGGGACAUCUGCGCCACUUUGAAUGUGCAUGACGUAUCGCAAACAGAAUAAUUCAUUCAAUUAGGCUGUAUUUGCUCCGUUAAAUCCUCUUUUCUAUUUUGCAGAAACCUGAAACCUUAGACCUGUAACAAAGCAUCAAUAAUCUCUCAAUGCUGCAUAUCACCACAACUGCCAAUCAAAGGAAAGUCUGGGGCCUGUUUGCUUUCCUGAUUUGAAAUAUUAAUACUGGUUAGCCUUGUGAGAUGCAAAAUCGUGGACUGGGACACAUACUGGCACCAGCAGCAAGGCCGCGGCUUGACAAGGCAAACAAGAAGUUCUUAAAUAAAUUAUGAGUUUUAAGGUUCGGAGAGGCUGACAUGACAUGAAAUAAACAGUGUACAAUGAGCGCAGCCCUGACCCAAGUAUUUCAAUGCAACCGCAUCAGAAUCAUUGGAGAAAAGAAACCCUAUUGACGUGACCUUUCACAGUCAAGAACACUAAGGGGACACGCAUAUUGUACUGCACAUAAAUGUGGCACUGUAUCAGAAGUCUUCGAGACUGGAAGCAUGAGACAAAACAACGACCCAGAGCCCCUCUUCUUCACACUCAUUCUCUCCUCCUGGAGGAAAGGUUUCAGAAGCACAUUCAUUCAUACAUUCAUACAAUACAUGUAUCGUAUUUUCUGCACUAUAAGGCACACAUAAAAGCCUUUAAUUUUCUCAAAAAACGACAGUGCACCUUAUAAUCCAGAGCGCCUUAUAUAUGGAUCAAUUGGUUAAUCGGUUGCAUACUCCAAUCCAUACUGGUUGUACACGGCGCUCAAGGCGCUCUGCCAAACAUGCCAAAGCUCGGUCUACGACGGCGAGAUGCUGAGCGGCGCUCAAGCGCGUGAGAUAUGGAGCUUGUUUCAGGGCGCGUCGGAGAAACAAAGCUGUCGUUCUUGCCGAGCACUUCAUGAGAUUAAAGAGCGAGAGACGGUGCCCUUUUCUCUACAGUAGCUGAACCAUCUUAACGGGGAAAAUAAGUUAUUCUAAAGGCUGGCGCAUGCGUCUGCGUUGUUGCGUCGACGCACUCGUUUCAAUUCAUGAUUCUAAAAGUCUUGCGUGUGUUGCAGAGCAAUUCACCUCCAGAACAACAGGCGGAGUAACGUGUUUUGUUGAAGACGACCUAGAGAGUCACGUCUAUUUAUUUAUUUGUUUAUUUAUUUAUCCUAGACUUUAUUGCCCUGUGCAUCGCCACUGCUGCUUUUCAUCGCGGACACAUCUGUCCCGUAUUUUCCUCCACAACUUUGUUCGCCUCGACCGGCAAACCGGCGUUUGCAGAGAUCUCCCUCCAUGAAUCGGAGGCCAUCUGCGCGUCCUCAUAGUCCGCCAAUGACGGGUUGUAUAAGCGGUCAUAUUUACGCAUUUCUUCCGACAAAAGUUCUUCAAUCUGAUCCGUUCCUUUCGUAAACAUUCUUCGUUUUAAUAAUGGCGGUAUUGUGCUAUGAACCUCGUAGCAUCGAUCGGACCCUGAAAGCACAGUCUCCACCUCCCCACACCCGCCCCAUCCACCCGCCCCGACGUCAAACGUCUCAAACUGCAGUAUCUUAUGCGUCUUAUUAUCCGGUGCGCCCUAUAUAUGAAAAAUGUUCUAAAAUAGGUAAUUCAUUGAAGGUGCGCCUUAUAAUCCAGUGCGCCUUAUAGUGCGGAAAAUACGGUAAUGCUAUCGUAUGAGCCAAUGGAUGUACUGGUCCCUCAAAUUUGAUGGUGGUGGUGGAAUGGGAGAAUGCAGCAUGGAUAUCGGGAGCUGGCACAGCGAGGGCCUUCACUCAGCUCCUGCUUUUGCUUCCAGGGAUUUUGUCCAGAUGAGAGCUGAACAGGCCUGAGGAGCUACUGGAGCCCUCCACAUCUCAGUUCCCCAGUGUGUGAGUGCAUGCUGGCAGACUGUUGACCUCAGUACUUUUUCCAGCUCUGAACUAAAUGUUAAGUGCUGAAGAGUCAGGGGAAAGUUGAAGAAGUGGGCUUCUGCUUCAGUUUGACAAACAUGGGCGGGUGAAAGCCUAUCCAGUCAGUAUUACAUUAAAAUGAGCCAUCCGAAAAAUUGGUGUUCACAUCCAAACACCUCAACAAUAUAAUGCAAUAUGUUUUAAAACAGGACAACUCUCAUCCCUAGAUUUAUAUCCAGCCUGAUCUCCAAAACCUGUUCGAAAAAAUGUAUAUGAAAAUCUUGAAGAUACAAAUUCGUAGUGAUACAUACUAAAUAAAUACAGACUGGCAACUGAUGACGUCACCCUAUUCAAAGUGAAUGGGGACCUGCACCCCGUAAACACACUUUGUGAAGACUAACGAUGUAAAAUAAACGUGUUAUGAUUGCAUUUUUAACGAGAAAUCAAUGUUAAAUUGUAAGAAUACAAUAAUAACCCUAACCCCCUCAAAAAAUCCAACAUGGCGGAGAGACGUUCACUCAAGAAUCCUACAUGGUCCGCCAUGUUGUUCACUCAAGGGGCGUGGUUAACCACCGCCAGUACGUAUGUAUUGUUACGAAUUACUAUGUCAAAUAUUUCGUAUACAUUUUUCCGAACAGGUUUUGGAGAUGACGUUAUAUCAGGUUUCCUAGUGUAGACUUGUAAGAAUAAAGGUACACAGGACCGACAGUUUCACCAAUUUUAUUAGUCCCAAAGACCCAAACACCAUGAAAUGUUUAGGGGGGUUACGGUGAUUUGUGGAUGAAAAUGUGAUGCGAUAUAUGUUCUUCGCAGAAAAUGAGUGAAGGCCGAUGAGUCUGAGUUUGAGUUGUUUUUUAUAAAUGAAAACGGGUCCCACAGACCUGAACACCAUACAAGGGUUAAACAAACAAUAUAUUUAUGAGUUUUAACUGUUCAUUUUUUAAACGGAUUAAUGCAUUUAUUUAAUGGUAAACCAAUCCCUUGUAUACGCAGAUGGAAACCUUAAUCAAACAACAAUACUUACACAUUCCGCUUAGACAAAAACAGGAGCAUUGCUGAUAUUUUGCUGAAUAUGUUUUUAAAGAGAGGCAUCUAGAUAGAUCCCCAUAGUAAUCAUUUCUAAAGACAUUGGCCUCUUUUUGAAUACAAACAGUGACAACUAAAUGCAAUUUCAGUAUAAAACAAUGCCCCUAAUGCAAAGUUCUGGCAGCCACUGUUUUUUUUCAAAAUUCAAGCAAACAUGCAAUGAUUACAUAAGAAUUAUUAUUUUCACAGAACUAAAGACGAUAAUGAAAAGCAGCAACGUGACUGAGAAACACUUUAAACGAGAUAUUCUGAUAUUUUGAAACCCCAACUAUAGGUUUUUAUGGUGGAAAGGCGAUGUUUCCAUUUAAACAGCUGCAAAGGGUCAAUUACAUUUCGUAUGGAGCUAUUUUGACACUUUAUAAACAAAGUGUCACAAUCGACGGACACUGUAAGCUCUUUCUUUUUUAACAAUGCAAUGCCAAAUUGGGUAAAAACCCCCAAAUCAAUGGAGAAGGAAAGUGUUAUUGUAAUAUUUCAACUCAAUUGUUAAGGAUUAUUCUUCCUUCAUUGCACCGUAGCUGUAUCAUAAACUAAACUUCCCCCUAAGCCACAGAAAUUGGCUCUUUGUUGACUGUUUUUUGUCAUUAAACUCCCUUCACCCCGUACAUCGUUUCCACCUAAAAAGAAGAGAAUAUCAGGGAGAGAGAAAAGAGAAAAAGAAAAUCAAUUACGCCAUGCACUUCUGAGGGCAUGUCAGAGGCUUUUCAGCAUUUGGAACCUAAUUAAAUUAACCUCAAAAGGAGAGGGACUGGAAGCGCGGCCGGGGCGCUCGGUGCGCGGCCGAUGAUUAGCGCAUCGAUUUAUUAAAAUGGGCUGGCAAGCCAGACAAGAUGAGACCUCAUUCCCGCCGGGGUCUUGUUUACUCUAGUGCGAGCCAGUUAGAACUGUUAUGCUCUGCGCUCCUCUAUUUGGCAUGGAGGAGUUAAUUAGUGGUGAUUGAGCAAGGAUCUCGGAAAUACAGUUUGAGCUGCAUAUAACAGGCUGUGCUCUGUGCACAGUUGUGUGGCGAUAACUCGGUUAGCUCCUGGGGGUUGCAAAUUGCAAAUUGACAGCAAAUUGAAACCCAGGACAUGUUCUAUGUAGUUUGUUCUAUGUAACUAUGUUGGAUAUGGAAGUAUCAUCAUUGUCUUAAUAUUCAACUUAAAAUCACUGACUUCAAUAGGCAUUCAGUGGUUUUAUUCAUCUGUUAACUUCUCCUGCUGAAGAAAGUCCUCAACAGUUAUUGACUCGCCCCAAAGAGUGCAAUACAGGCAACAGAAAAAAUCAACUCAAAAACUGGAAAUCGUCAUUAUUUUCAAGUUGUGCAAAGUUUGUUUAGCUUGUCUCACGUUAAGCCGUUUAUCUGCUGCGCGAGGAAUGUCGAGCCCAUGGGUCAGUCCGUUUGUGUUGGUAGAAGAAAUACUCUGCAGAGCAAUCCAAACAUUGUACGAGUACAACCAAAGUGCCAAAGAGAACGGAGGGGGGAAUCCCAGGCCUGAGUGUACAUGUAAUCUUAAAACAACAUCGCCGUAGAUACUCCUGUUUAGAUAUAUUCUUUAGCUCGCUGUUAUCGCUCACAAUUCCGAUAUUGUUUGGAUUCCCACAUUGCUGCUCAUAUUUCCAUUGGAAUGGACUGGCAGCUCGCCUGAUGGAGAGCCUUCUCUGGGGAGUCUGCAAACGCAUCCGUUUUCAAUGUGUCUGAUCCUGCUUCUCUGUGCCGAGCUGACUGUAAUUGGCAGGCUCUCCUCGUCAUUGAGAUAUUACAUUUCCCCUCUCGGCUAUUCCACAUACUCCUGGGAGCAGUUCACACUGCGAGCGCGUCCCGCGAGUCCUCUGCAGCAGACACAGGACUGGCGAUAGAGUUGUCCUCAUGGUAACAGAAAUCGUUCUCUGCCUCUGACUCUACAUUACAGGCCAUCAGAGUUUUUUAGCGUAUGAUGAGGCGAGUGUGGAGCCAAGAUUCAUCAUUUUGAGAAGCCCCGGUUGAGGGUGGAUAUGUUACAUUUUGAAAAAGAGAGGGAAACAACUACUCGCUAAUGCGUUUGCAAAACAACCUAAUGCAUUCGCUCUUCAAAGACACAGCCACAAAAAUAAAAAGGUUUAUUUUUCCACAAGAAGCAUUUACCUUUUAACUUUCUUUUUUUUGGUUACGUGGCGGCACAAGGAAGAUUUAUUCCCCUCUAAAGUCACCAUCAAUUAGAAAAUAAACACAUGGUUCAACGGCGCCCGGUGUCACUAAGUAAACACAGACCUGCCUGCAAUUAAAGGCCCAGUUUUCCUCCGGAGGCGCUGACGUCUUGGUCAUGCAGGACAGCAGGAGUGGCAGGAGGCCGCGGCCAAGUUCUUACAUAUGUUCCUCAGGAAUAAUUGCAGGCACCGCUCCGGAUGAUUCACGACUCCGUAAUCACACAAUUUCCAUAUUGUUGACUCAUACUUGCAGGCCAAUAUGACUGCCAGUGGUACAAACUGCUAAUUGAACCGUCAAUGCAGUUGCAAUUAUCUAGUGCGCAACAACGUGUGAGAAAGCUGUCUGUGAUCUGUUUUUCCACCAGUUUGGGGCUCCAGACGGAGACCUGACGCUCGCCAUACUUCCUGCUCUCUGUGGGAAUUCGUCUUGCUACAACUGUUGCAAUCAGUAAAGAAAACAAAACAUGGGUUUCCCAUCUUUAUGCAGGUGAUGCACAAACCUGCGCUGGUCUCCGAGCCUCGCUGUGUGCUGAAAGAAAUCUAGACAUUGUUAGCGCCAGCAUUUCCCACCACUUUUCUUCAUUUGCUUAGCAUAUAGGUAAAAUUGCAAUCAUUUAUUUCCUUUCGCAGUGAACAAACUCUAGAAAUGUGUGUAUUUAUCAUGAUCCUGCAUCAGCCUCACAGCUCAAAGUGCAAUCCGACCGAGCUGCAACCUGAGAAACGAACGACCAACUGCGAGGCCAUGGGGUCCAGGUGAGCUCCUGUCAUUAUCCAUAACUAACUGCAGUCUAGACAACAUUGUGUAUGAAAGGGAAAAGACAAUUAAUGGAGGACGUUGGAGCUGUCUGUCUGACGUUUGUCAGCUGUCUGUCUGACGUUUGUCAGACAGACAGCUGGGGCAUGGAUCGGAGGAAAAGAGGAUGCAACUUGAUAUCUUGUAGGAAAGAUCCUCCCCCAAGGACCUCUCGUUUGGAAAGCAGGUCAGACAGACGCAUUUACAGUAAAAGAUUCCCGCUGUAAUAAUUUUGUCGUAUUAGACUACCAGCUGGCAUCUUAAAGAUACAGUUAAUUAUAAACAGUAAAAGAAUUAGCAUUGCACACAAGUAUAGUAACACUGUUUUAAACGAAGGCCAGUUAGAAACUGCACGUUUUUCUCAACGCAUUAUUCUUCUUUGUCUGAAACUGUAACUUAUAUAGCUUCGAUCACAUCUUUAAAAAGCUUGUUACUCAAUUUCUGUGGGUUUUUGUGACCUCUCCAACUUUCCACUGUCGGUUUUUGCUAAUUCAUGGUUCAUAAUUUUGUGGGAUAUCCAGAAAUUACAAUUUUGUAAGCAUGAAAUUCUGGACUGAAUUUUGUUCUAAUUCAUCCUGUAGAUUUGUAGUAGUUGAGAUAUUCUGUCUGGAAGUGAAGUAGUAUAGUGACAAUCCACAAUGCACGUUUGCUGUUGUCAUAAUUCAUAGGCAGCCUUGCAUUGACAUACCAUAAUGCAAUGCAGCUGUGUAGAUUCUUUUGUGGAAGCUAUUUACACCUGCACCUAAAUCGCCUCAACCGAACAUAUUAAUGUACUGUCAAAAACCCUUCAAGAAUUCAUAAACUGAAGCAGACAGAUCAAUUGAUCACAACAAUGCUCAUGAGGCUUCAACACAAAUAAUCUUUUGUUGUGUCUCAUAAAGCCAAUUCAGGUUAAUCCUUAGGUCUAUUAAGUAAACGGUCAUAGUUAUAAAGAAUCAUGUGUUUUUAAUGAUGUGUUUAUUAUAUAGUGCCAAACAUAAUGAAAUCAUGGCAUCUACCCUGACAAGCAAAGCAUACAGUCACCAUACACUCACAUCCAGGUGCAUGCCAAACUUUGUCAAUCGGGGAAAAGUUUACAUCACCUGCAAUGACGCAGAGUAAAAGAGCAAAAAAGGGUAGAUGGAGCGUAAUAGAUAAAUUUAUCUGCCAAAUCUCUGCCAUCUCGACUCAGGUCUUUAGACUGGAUUGAAAAAACAAACACACAUACGCCAGUCCUUGUUUCAUUCCGUCCACCUCACCGACUUCCAUGUCAGCACUGAAUGAGAAAAUAACAAAUUAACCAAAAGGCUCCGACAACAAUCUACGUGGAUUGUUUUUUUUUUCAUCCCUCCACAAUUAACACACAGUUUUCAGUUUGGUAUCACUAUGGGUUACUGUUGACUUUCGAUGGUGCACACUAUGUCACAUGUUAUAGUUGACAAUUUUCCAUGAACUUUCAUCUCGUAAAUACAAGAAUUUGUAAGCUAACGUUCAAAGUGUGUUGCUGGGACCAGUGAAGCUAAAGCACCAGUGCCUCCAACUUGCAUUCUCUCUAAUGGCCAUCAGGGGGCAACACCUCUAAUGGGAAAAAAAGACGCCUGAUUGUCGAUGUCGAUGAGAAAAUUACUCUACUUCUCACUUCUUUACCUCAGUAAAAAUUGUCCUCCGGAAACAUCCCUAGUUUCAAGUAUUCUGUCAAUACACUAUGAUGGUGAUUCAGUAAAAAAUGUUCUCAUUUAGAAUUAAAUGGAUAAAGCAGUGGUUACGCUGUGAUUGACAGGUCUCGGGUUAGUACUGGUCACAGAGUGGUCUGUGUUUUUGUCUUAGAAUCUUUCUCAGGACGUGACUCUUUGAAAGUGUGAUUCCUGUCUCGCCUUAAGAGGAGAGGCAGUGACGAGUUCCAUGUGACAAUCUAAUGGAUGGAACCACAGUGGUGUGAGCUUCUGCUGAAAAGAAUACGUUGCACAGAUUUUCCCGGUGUAUGAUUACAGUCAAAAAACACCUGAGUUACCCUGAAUCACUCACUCUUGUCGGAAAGAGGUUAAGACCGCAGAAUCUCGACUAAACUUUCUCUCUGGUUUGGCUUCGUCGAGUGAUAGGAUUGAGGAUUCAGCCCCUCCAGCUUUUCUCUGUCAGGCCUCUUCAACCCAACGCUUCCCGUGCCAACCCUAGUCAAGGAGACCCACGUUCUCACUGCUCCCGUGAGGUCCGUCUCUCCCGGUCCUCACUCCGGGCCUAAGCAGCUCAACCAGAAAGAAAGCUCCUUCAAACCCUUUUGAUCCGGCUUGCGUGUGAGAGGGCACGAAAAACGGUUACGUACCGAAGAAGCAAAAUACUUUCCAAGAUCCCCAAUCAAUCCCCGUAACAAAGCUCUGAGCGGAUGUGUAAACGUGACUCGAGGAAACACAGCAAACCCUGUCAACCCUGUGCUGAGCAGAAGUUGGAUUAGUUGGAUGUGUUAUUUUUGUCUUGAGGUUUACAGUAUUGUGUAACAAGCCAUUAUGCAUGUUUUGUGAACUGCCAAGUUCUGCCACAUGCUGAGUGUGAUAUAACGUGCAAUUGGCAUGUGUCCAGGCCCUAGAUCCCGGUAAACACUGCGUAUUAACUACGGUGUUUGCUGCCUUAUAUUCUGUUGGUUUGCUAGAUCAAUCCCCUCAAAUUAGACCGAUAUUUGGAACUUCGGAGGGCAGGAAUCCAGUUUCCAAUUUGCUUAGCUGUGGAAUGAUGUUUACUCAUGUCUCACUGUGAAACGGAAACCUGCUUUGCUCUCAGUCUCUUUCCUUCUUCCUUUUGUUUUAUCAUAUACUAACCAAUGCAAAGGUCCCUCCAGAUUUCCAAGCUCAAAGUGGGUGGUUUCAGCAGUUGCCAUUUUGGCAAAAAGAGACAGCCUAACUAGCAGCUAAUCCCAAAAUGAGCAAUGAGUCGGUUUGCAAUGGGAGCUCAUUAAAAUGUUGUGUAAUAUUUGCUAAAUAGGUGAUUUUAAAGAAAUAUGAACUCAAUGUCACAGAUGGAAAAACAUUUCAUUACUUUGUGCUACAUUUACUUUAAUGUUUCCAUUGUUUUUUAUUACUCAUUAGUGGAGUUUGGGAAAUUAGUUUGGCCAUUUGGCCGCAAGCAUAAUCUAAGGCUGUUAUAAAAUCAAUUUAAUGAACUAUUUUUUUUUGCAAAUCGUCUUUUUAAAACCAAUUGCAGUGUCACACUUAAGAAAGAUCAUAACACACCAAAUGUAACACAAAGUGUCAUUUUACUUUGUUGACAGAUGUUUCACACAUUAAGAGUCUGUGGGAGGAUUUGGUUUCAGCUGGGCAGCUGAGAUUCAUUCAAAAUCUCAAUUCAGAAAUACUGAAACACAUGUGGUUUCGGUGUUUGAGAGCACAAAAUUCCUAUUAAGUCACAAUGUGGAGUUGGGAUUUGUCUUAAUUUUCAUUUUUCUCUUAGCUAUAUGCGGCAAAUAACAACCAUGCGCAGCAACAGUCACAGAGCCAGGUGCACCCUGGUCCUCAAAUCUCUUACAGCGUCUGGUGGAGAAAUAUACAUUUUAAUAAGUCCCUUUAGGAGCGAUGAAGGGCGAGACCCUGGGAAAGCUCGUUGAAGUGUCCUGUGCAAUACAUUGGAUUCCUUUGUAAAUGUUUUAUAAUGACAAACAUGCAGUGUCGGCUUUACCACGCUGCAGACGGAAAAUCCUCCUUGCAUUGUUAAAGUCAGGUGUAGUACAGUAUGCCAGUAAAACCUCAACCUGCAGCAGAUGCAAAAUUACCUCAGUGAACAUUACGAGUAAAAAACUUGUGCAUUUGUGCAUUAACUAAACCAAAAGGCCCAAUUUAUUGUGGACUUGCACUGCAGUUCUUUGCACUUCAAAUUUGAUGCCCAUUUUUUGGAUGUACUAUUCAGUACCAUUUCCCCUCACAUGCUUGCUUAGCUUAAGCUUCUCAAUUAUUCAGGCUGCGAUCAAUACUCAACACACGCCUGUUAGGAAAAGCAGGAAGCAGAGACGGAUUUAAGCCCCAAUCUGGAUUAUGGAUUUGUAUCAAUUUAUGUGUGUCUGCUCAACCAAGAAAUUGGUGGAAAACACUGCGAAACCCAGCUAAGUGGAUGAAGUGCAAGGCUCAGAAGGCUUUUUUUCAAUUUAACUCCUUGUUCCUCAGUAGUUUUUUUAUUUAAUUUUUUGGUUUCGCGCAAUUAUCACACCGCCAGGCUUGGUCUGUGAAAGAUGGCUUUCUCAUUAGCCUGUCCCCAGUUCCCUCUGAAACGCUUGAUGAACAGGCCCUCAAUUUCCCAACCUUACCUCCAACUUUAACAAUGAAGAUGACUGACGAGAUGGACGGGAAGUCACACAUCAGCGGCGUCCCUAACAAGAGAAAGUUUCGAGAGAUGUCCUUAUGUGAGCGGUAUAAGUUCACUUGGGAUUGAAACUUUUCAUUUAGCAGUUUUUAAGGUGGACUUGUUGCGAUUUCGUGCUAUGGCUUGGCUCCCCCUAGUGUUGCUUGUGACAAUGUCCAUCUUGAAGCUCGUUCACACCUCCGGGUGACAAAGAUGUUUUUGAUGAUCAUCCUUCUUGUGAAAUAUCAAGCUUUCCAUGGCACAUAUAAGGGUAGUAAACUGCUGCCAGCACAAGCGUCUGCAUUUAAUUCACAUUUGUCCCUGUGCAGACAAUGACAUCAGCAGUGGUCUGAUGUCAUGUGAAACUCAUUUUCACCCGGGCAGGAGAGACCGCAUGCACACUACAAACCAAGCACUACCACACUUAUCCUUCACGUUUUCACUUGAUUGUUUCAAGUCUUGAGCUUUUUUGUAACUUCUUCUCGUCAUACUCUAAAAGGCUGCAACAAUACUUGUAUACAGUAUUUCAGCCAUAUGAAUGUCCACAAAAAAAACAUUUCUGAUGUUGCCUGGCCUGAUCUUUUGGACCUGGUCUAUCUUUCACAUUGCAUUAUUCCAUUAUUGCAUCACCUUUACACCAUAUCCAACGGUCAUGUGUGCGUCGAUGUGUGUGGUGCACUGUUUGUAUCCAAUCGUGCGGUUCAUAUCUUUGGCCAGUCACGGCCAUUCUCCGCCCUCGCUGGCUGCAUGCAGCAGUGGAGCCUCGAACCGUGAUCUACUCUCAGCCAAAGCCAGAGCCAGAUUUAGAGAUGGCGGUGAGGCCUACCACUGGCCCGUGUUGUAUUUAGAUUGGCAGAUGAACGGCAGCUUCGCUCGAGCCCCGUUCACCAUUUGUGGGAAUCAUGCCUCUAACGCUCAUGUAAACACAGGCGCUGAAAGGCCUGCGGCCCUCGCUUUCUCUGCCUCUGUUUUAGACAGGCACCAAUCCAAUAAUGUGACGUUUAUGUUUGAAAUUAGAGGAGAAACUCUCUUGAUUAAGCAAAUCCGACAAUCUCAUUGUGUGUCGUCCCAAAUGCAGGAAGACGAUAUUUAGUUCUUAUUGGUUGGGUUUUAAACCAUUUCUAUAAUUGCAGCGCAUGAGUGCAGUAAUCUUUUCAGAUUGCUACAUACAGUGUGUCAUGAAAGCGGUAACCGACAGCUCUUUCUAAUGCGAAGUUUUCGUAUUUGGGAGGACAAAAACAACCCAAAUGAAGAAACAAACAAGUAUCUGGCCCUAAGAAAAACCUCUGUUUUCAAAGCAUCAUGUGUACAGAUCUUGCUUCAUAUUUUCAACAUUUCAGUUCUCCAAUCCAGACAAAAUACCAAAAGCAAGAUCCUAGCGCAAUGAUUAAAGGAAAAACCUAAAAUGAAAAAUAAUAACAGAGAGAGGGCUUAAAAUAGAGUACGUUAAAAUACACGCCAGGGAAAUCCUAUCCCCAAGAGACUGUCAGACAUGUAAUUUGAAAAAAAGGCAAGGAGUUAAAUUACAUGUAGGA
Molecule: long non-coding RNA, 25584 nt
Organism: Gasterosteus aculeatus aculeatus (three-spined stickleback)
Lineage: Eukaryota; Metazoa; Chordata; Actinopteri; Perciformes; Gasterosteidae
Source: Ensembl